This 235-nucleotide long non-coding RNA is filed under the name Lathyrus oleraceus (garden pea). RNAcentral's name for it is "Pisum sativum (pea) long non-coding RNA (PSAT_LNC022334)". The record is from RNAcentral. Lineage: Eukaryota; Viridiplantae; Streptophyta; Magnoliopsida; Fabales; Fabaceae.
UUUUUGUUUUUUAUUAAACUUUUUUAAAUUAUUAUAUUAUUUAUUUUAAUACAUUUUUUAGUCCAAAAAAGAGUCAAAAAUCACACACACACAAAAAAACUUAAUUAGAUUGAUUUUUUAUUUUUUUAGCUCUUUUUCACAUCUUGAGGAACAAGUAAGUAAUUUUGGAAAUAAUCAAUUUAUUUGAUUAUUUUGAUUAAUUAUUUGAAGCAUAAUUAAUUUAUUUCUCAUUUUG